RNAcentral lists this ribosomal RNA (385 nucleotides) under uncultured bacterium. RNAcentral's name for it is "bacterial SSU rRNA". It matches the Rfam family "Bacterial small subunit ribosomal RNA", at positions 28 to 416 of the family's 1533-position model. The record is from RNAcentral.
GACGAACGCUGGCGGCGUGCUUAACACAUGCAAGUCGAGCGGAAAGGCCCUUCGGGGUACUCGAGCGGCGAACGGGUGAGUAACACGUGAGUAACCUGCCCUCAGCUUUGGGAUAACCCUCGGAAACGGGGGCUAAUACCGAAUAUUCACAUUGGACGGCAUCGUUUGGUGUGGAAAGUUUUUCGGCUGGGGAUGGGCUCGCGGCCUAUCAGCUUGUUGGUGGGGUAAUGGCCUACCAAGGCGACGACGGGUAGCCGGCCUGAGAGGGCGACCGGCCACACUGGGACUGAGACACGGCCCAGACUCCUACGGGAGGCAGCAGUGGGGAAUAUUGCACAAUGGGGCGGAAGCCUGAUGCAGCGACGCCGCGUGAGGGAUGACGGCC